RNAcentral lists this transfer RNA (75 nucleotides) under uncultured archaeon. RNAcentral's name for it is "tRNA-Gln(ctg)". It matches the Rfam family "tRNA". From Rfam's summary of the family: Transfer RNA (tRNA) molecules are approximately 80 nucleotides in length. The record is from RNAcentral.
UAGCCCCAUAGUACAGCGGUCAAGUAUAUCGGCCUCUGGAGCCGGUGACCCAGGUUCGAAUCCUGGUGGGGCUAU